Molecule: long non-coding RNA, 979 nt
Organism: Psammomys obesus (fat sand rat)
Lineage: Eukaryota; Metazoa; Chordata; Mammalia; Rodentia; Muridae
Exons: 3
Source: RefSeq, a predicted model, not a curated record
ACUCUUUGCCUGUGCUAACAGAACUACCAAUGAUUUGGCUCUCAAAAAUAUGGACUAUGCCACCCAGAAAGAAAGCAAACAAGACCAUAGCAACAGUGGGCAGGAAGCUUCCCAAGCAUGAAGUGACUGCCUCAUCUGCUCAGGUCUUCCAGGAUUGCUCCACUAGUGCUGGACUUCACUAUUAGUACCCUGCCAGACCCAGGUGUUUCCUACAUCCAAGACAGCACCAAAGCACCUACCACAGGUGCCCCAGGCCAACCUCAAAGACUGCAUCAAGCCGGACCUGCACUUCCACUCCCAGACACAGAGGUUCUCACAGACCUUGGAGAGCAUUAAAACAGUCUACGUUCCUGGACAUGGCCAACAUUUCAGCCUUUUGACCUCCCUAUCGCUGCCCUAGUGUCAGCAGGAAGUAGCUAAAGGUGAUUGAUUUCUUCACCCGUGAUCCACUUGUUAUCAACAAAAGGCUUAAAUGGUGUGCUUCAGGCCCAGGACCAAAAGCUCCAGGCACUCCCAGCAUUCCUCAGUCCCUAUCUGGGCAUGGCUGGCAACCCCACCCUCUAAUUCUGAACUUUCCAGGGCAGGGGCUUCCCCUCCUCCCCCUCAUGUAAUCUGGACAUUUUGAAGCUCUUACUUUUUUCAUCUCUCUUACCCCCUUUCAGAGUGACCAAGAGCUGCUUCCAAUAAACCACCAAUUAUAUACUUUAACUUGCCUCACAUGGGAAGCAGCCCAAGCGCCUCAUUUUUAAAUUAAAUAAAAAGGGAGGAAUGUUAGUAUUUAGGCAGCCUGCUUCUGGGUUCCCUAGCAAACUCUGAUGUCAUCAUGUGUCACCCGCCAGGUAGUUGUACCUGGCAGGAGUGGUUCAGUUACUCCAUAAAAGACCAACUUGUCACUUUGUCUCUCUCUUGCUCUCUUACUCUCUAGCUCUCCUGCUCUUCCCUUCUCUCUGUUGGGGAGUUCUCUCCCCUCCCCCUAUGA